GACGAACGCUGGCGGCGUGCUUAACACAUGCAAGUCGAACGGAAAGGCCCUGCUUUUGUGGGGUGCUCGAGUGGCGAAAGGGUGAGUAACACGUGAGUAACCUGCCCUUGACUUUGGGAUAACUUCAGGAAACUGGGGCUAAUACCGGAUAGGAGCUCCUGCUGCAUGGUGGGGGUUGGAAAGUUUCGGCGGUUGGGGAUGGACUCGCGGCUUAUCAGAUUGUUGGUGGGGUAGUGGCUUACCAAGGCUUUGACGGGUAGCCGGCCUGAGAGGGUGACCGGCCACAUUGGGACUGAGAUACGGCCCAGACUCCUACGGGAGGCAGCAGUGGGGAAUAUUGCACAAUGGGCGGAAGCCUGAUGCAGCAACGCCGCGUGCGGGAUGACGGCCUUCGGGUUGUAAACCGCUUUCGCCUGUGACGAAGCGUGAGUGACGGUAAUGGGUAAAGAAGCACCGGCUAACUACGUG
RNAcentral lists this ribosomal RNA (468 nucleotides) under uncultured bacterium. RNAcentral's name for it is "partial 16S ribosomal RNA". It matches the Rfam family "Bacterial small subunit ribosomal RNA", at positions 28 to 507 of the family's 1533-position model. The record is from RNAcentral.